This 326-nucleotide ribosomal RNA is filed under the name uncultured bacterium. Its description in RNAcentral is "bacterial SSU rRNA". It matches the Rfam family "Bacterial small subunit ribosomal RNA", at positions 8 to 334 of the family's 1533-position model. The record is from RNAcentral.
AGGGUUUGAUCAUGGCUCAGGACGAACGCUGGCGGCGUGCCUAACACAUGCAAGUCGAACGGACUUAAGUUUUCGGAUUUAAGUUAGUGGCGGACGGGGGAGUAACGCGUGAGUAACCUGCCUUUCAGAGGGGAAUAACAGCCUGAAAAGACUGCUAAUACCGCAUAACGUAUUUGUCCCGCAUGAGAUGAAUACCAAAGAUUUUAUCGCUGAAAGAUGGACUCGCGUCCGAUUAGAUAGUUGGUGAGGUAACGGCCCACCAAGUCGACGAUCGGUAGCCGGACUGAGAGGUUGAACGGCCACAUUGGGACUGAGACACGGCCCAG